CUGCCCAGUGAUCAGUGACAUGAUUUAACGGCCGCGGUACCCUAACCGUGCAAAGGUAGCAUAAUCAUUUGCUCUAUAAUUGAGGGCUUGUAUGAAUGGUUUGACAAGAACAAUACUGUCUCUUAAAAAUUCACUAAAAUUUGGUUUUUAGGUGAAGAAACCUAAAUAAAAUUGAAAGACAAGAAGACCCUAUCGAGCUUAAAAAAUACGUUAACUAUAUAGAAAAACUAAAAUUAACGAAAAAAUUUGGUUGGGGCGACUGAGGAACAAAUAAAGCUUCCUUUAAUAUAAAAAACUUAUAUGUGUUGAUCCAAAGUAUUUGAUUAAAAAAAUUAGUUACCGUAGGGAUAACAGCAUAAUCUUUUUAGAGAGAACAUAUCAAAAAAAAGGUUUGUGACCUCGAUGUUGGACUAGGAUAUCCUAAUAGAUUGCAGAAGUCUUUAAAGG
Molecule: ribosomal RNA, 447 nt
Filed under: Pseudobaikalia michelae
Lineage: Eukaryota; Metazoa; Mollusca; Gastropoda; Littorinimorpha; Baicaliidae
Description: Pseudobaikalia sp. 1 MK-2016 partial 16S ribosomal RNA
Rfam family: Bacterial large subunit ribosomal RNA
Source: RNAcentral